UACAGAGGUCCCAAGCGUUGUUCGGAUUCACUGGGCGUAAAGGGUGCGUAGGUGGUGAGGUAAGUCGGAUGUGAAAGCUCCGAGCUCAACUCGGUAAUGGCAUUGGAAACUACCUUGCUAGAGGGUUUGAGGGGGGACUGGAAUACUUGGUGUAGCAGUGAAAUGCGUAGAUAUCAAGUGGAACACCAGUGGCGAAGGCGAGUCCCUGGAAAACUCCUGACACUGAGGCACGAAAGCUAGGGGAGCAAACAGG
This 253-nucleotide ribosomal RNA is filed under the name uncultured bacterium. RNAcentral describes it as "partial 16S ribosomal RNA". It matches the Rfam family "Bacterial small subunit ribosomal RNA", at positions 524 to 776 of the family's 1533-position model. The record is from RNAcentral.